This 587-nucleotide ribosomal RNA is filed under the name uncultured bacterium. RNAcentral describes it as "partial 16S ribosomal RNA". It matches the Rfam family "Bacterial small subunit ribosomal RNA", at positions 355 to 1375 of the family's 1533-position model. The record is from RNAcentral.
UGGGGAAUUUUGGACAAUGGGCGAAAGCCUGAUCCAGCAAUGCCGCGUGUGUGAAGAAGGCCUUCGGGUUGUAAAGCACUUUUGUCCGGAAAGAAAUCCUUGGCUCUAAUACAGUCGGGGGAUGACGGUACCGGAAGAAUAAGCACCGGCUAACUACGUGCCAGCAGCCGCGGUAAUACGUAGGGUGCAAGCGUUAAUCGGAAUUACUGGGCGUAAAGCGUGCGCAGGCGGUUUGCUAAGACCGAUGUGAAAUCCCCGGGCUCAACCUGGGAACUGCAUUGGUGACUGGCAGGCUAGAGUAUGGCAGAGGGGGGUAGGAUUCCACGUGUAGCAGUGAAAUGCGUAGAGAUGUGGAGGAAUACCGAUGGCGAAGGCAGCCCCCUGGGCCAAUACUGACGCUCAUGCACGAAAAGCGUGGGGAGCAAAACAGGAUUAGAUACCCUGGUAGUCCACGCCCUAAACGAUGUCAACUAGUUGUUGGGGAUUCAUUUCCUUAGUAACGUAGCUAACGCGUGAAGUUGACCGCCUGGGGAGUACGGUCGCAAGAUUAAAACUCAAAUGAAUUGACGGGGUCAUAGCUGUUUCCU